AUGAACGCUGGCGGCGUGCCUAAUACAUGCCAGUCGAACGAAACUUCUUUAUCACCGAGUGCUUGCACUCACCGAUAAAGAGUUGAGUGGCGAACGGGUGAGUAACACGUGGGCAACCUGCCCAAAAGAGGGGGAUAACACUUGGAAACAGGUGCUAAUACCGCAUAACCAUAGUUACCGCAUGGUAACUAUGUAAAAGGUGGCUAUACUACCGCUUUUGGAUGGGCCCGCGGCGCAUUAGCUAGUUGGUAGGGUAAAGGCUUACCAAGGCAAUGAUGCGUAGCCGAAUUGAGAGGUUGAUCGGCCACAUUGGGACUGAGACACGGCCCAAACUCCUACGGGAGGCAGCAGUAGGGAAUCUUCCACAAUGGGCGAAAGCCUGAUGGAGCAACGCCGCGUGGGUGAAGAAGGUCUUCGGAUCGUAAAACCCUGUUGUUAGAGAAGAAAGUGCGUGAGAGUAACUGUUCACGUUUCGACGGUAUCUAACCAGAAAGCCACGGCUAACUACGUG
This 511-nucleotide ribosomal RNA is filed under the name uncultured bacterium. Its description in RNAcentral is "partial 16S ribosomal RNA". It matches the Rfam family "Bacterial small subunit ribosomal RNA", at positions 29 to 507 of the family's 1533-position model. The record is from RNAcentral.